GGCUCAGAACGAACGCUGGCUCCAUGCCUAACACAUGCAAGUCGAACGCCUGUAUCAAUACAGGAGUGGCGAGCGGCUGACGGGUGAGUAAUGCAUGGGAAUCUGCCCAGUAUCGGGGGACAACCCGGAGAAAUCCGGGCUAAUACCGCAUACGCCCUACGGGGGAAAGCGGGGGACCGAAAGGCCUCCCACUAUUGUAGGAACCCAUGUCCGAUUAGCUAGUUGGUGAGGUAACGGCUCACCAAGGCGACGAUCGGUAGCUGGUCUGAGAGGACGAUCAGCCGCACCGGAACUGAGACGCAGUCCGGACUCCUACGGGAGGCAUCAGUGGG
This 332-nucleotide ribosomal RNA is filed under the name uncultured Gammaproteobacteria bacterium. Its description in RNAcentral is "bacterial SSU rRNA". It matches the Rfam family "Bacterial small subunit ribosomal RNA", at positions 21 to 358 of the family's 1533-position model. Lineage: Bacteria; Pseudomonadati; Pseudomonadota; Gammaproteobacteria. The record is from RNAcentral.